RNAcentral lists this ribosomal RNA (254 nucleotides) under uncultured bacterium. RNAcentral describes it as "partial 16S ribosomal RNA". It matches the Rfam family "Bacterial small subunit ribosomal RNA", at positions 524 to 776 of the family's 1533-position model. The record is from RNAcentral.
UACGUAGGAUCCAAGCAUUACCCGGAAUUACUGGGCGUAAAGAGUUGCGUAGGUGGCAUGUUAAGCAGAGUUUGAAAUAGUGUGGCUCAACCAUGCACCCAAAUUCUGAACUGGCAAGCUUGAGCAUGAGAGAGGUAACUGGAAUUCCCGGUGUAGGAGUGAAAUCCGUAGAUAUCGGGAGGAACACCGAUGGCGUAGGCAGGUUACUGGCUCAUUGCUGACACUCAGGCACGAAAGCGUGGGGAGCGAACUGG